GCAUUGUGUCAAUAAUAAGUGUUGCUGUGAAGAGAACAAUAGUCAGACUGAAUGUUGAACAUCAGCUAGUUUCUCCUGCUGAUUUAAACCUUGUUGGACAGAUGGAACAUUGGCUGUGGAUUAUUCUAGCUGCUCUUUUCUUUGAGUGUAAAGGAGACUCAGUGACACAGACAGAAGGACAUGUUGCUGCUGCUGAAGGAGAAUCUGUGACUCUGGGAUGUUCUUUCAAAGCCAGUUUCACAGGUGAUGCCUUGUUCUGGUAUAAACAAGAAGAAAGCAGCUUCCCAAAGUAUAUGCUGAAAGAAUAUACUGGAAGAAGAGAAAACAAUCCGGAGUUCAGUGAAGAAAGAUUUCAUGCAGGGAUCAAGAACUCAACAUUUAAUCUGACGAUCAUGGAUCUCGGUCUGUCAGACUCUGCUGUGUACUACUGUGCUCUGAGGCCCACAGUGACAGGAAACACCAGAACUCUGUACAAGAACCUGCAGAGCAGAGACAGCAGAAUAACCCACUAUAGCUACAAGAGGGGCGGAUACAUUAACCUAAAGUAAAGUUCAGCUCUCAAAUCAUAUGCAAUUUGAGAAAAAAGGAGACAUGAGUAAAUGUGAUUUAGAAAAUAUUCAACGUGUUCAGAAACAGUACAUUUCUUUUUACACAAUUUUUAUGUAAACAAUAACAAGCUAGACUUUUGCCUAUAAUGAAUUCCACUAUUAUACAAGCUUGUUCUCGAUAUUCACGCAGUGGACAGUAUUACUCCUUUACCCCAUAUUGCAGUGAUCCAGGAAGCCUUUUAUGAUUCAUUGGAUGUUUGUUCAAGGGUUUGAUGGCUCAGAGGAAAAAUGUGAUUUAAAAUUUUCCAGGCCUUAACUGGGAGUAGAUUUUAACAACCAU
Molecule: non-coding RNA, 888 nt
Organism: Cyprinodon tularosa
Lineage: Eukaryota; Metazoa; Chordata; Actinopteri; Cyprinodontiformes; Cyprinodontidae
Source: the annotation of a RefSeq genome assembly